This 192-nucleotide non-coding RNA is filed under the name Bacillota bacterium. RNAcentral's name for it is "Firmicutes bacterium (gut metagenome) 6S RNA". It matches the Rfam family "6S / SsrS RNA". From Rfam's summary of the family: E. coli 6S RNA was the first non coding RNA to be sequenced, but its function was unknown until recently. Lineage: Bacteria; Bacillati; Bacillota. The record is from RNAcentral.
UUAUUUCUGCCUUGUUUUCGUUAGUAUGGUUAUAUUAAUCCAACACUUUUACUCAGGGAGCUGGACUCUGACGGCGGAUUGCAGACCUCCUGGGCUUUCCAGACGAAGGGAGCGUGAACCCGUAAGGCUGGCACCCACCUGUCAUAUGUUGGCGGGUUUUUAAUUGCCAUACGACGGCAAGGCGGUCUUUAU